This 253-nucleotide ribosomal RNA is filed under the name uncultured bacterium. Its description in RNAcentral is "partial 16S ribosomal RNA". It matches the Rfam family "Bacterial small subunit ribosomal RNA", at positions 524 to 776 of the family's 1533-position model. The record is from RNAcentral.
CACGUAGGGCGCAAGCGUUGUCCGGAAUUAUUGGGCGUAAAGAGCUCGUAGGCGGUCUGUUGCGUCCGCUGUGAAAGCCCGGGGCUCAACCCCGGAAUGGCUUUCGAAACUGCUGAGCUAGAGUACAGAAGGGGCAACCGGAAUUCCCAGUGUAGCGGUGAAAUGCGUAGAUAUUGGGAAGAACACCUGAGGCGAAGGCGGGUUGCUGGGCUGAUACUGACGCUGAGGCGCGAAAGCCAGGGGAGCAAACGGG